UACGAUAGGUAAGGACACCUGCCCUGUUGU
This 30-nucleotide non-coding RNA is filed under the name Rattus norvegicus (Norway rat). Lineage: Eukaryota; Metazoa; Chordata; Mammalia; Rodentia; Muridae. The record is from RNAcentral.